UUUUUUAAAAAUCGUAAAUAUAUGAAAUUUAAAACUUAUUAUAAAAAAAAUUAUAUUGAUAUAAAGUGGUAGCAGUGAUAACGUAAAGUUAAACAAAAUUAGAAUUUCAUCUAAAAUUUUAAAUAUUUAAAUUUUAAUAUUACUGCAAAACUACUGUUAUCGACCGAGAUUUUUGAAUAUUUGUAAUCUUUAAUUUCAGAUAACAAUUUAUCGUUCUCAAUGCAAGUAGAGAAUCGCAUCGUAUUUACAGGUAAAAGCAAAUAAAAAAUAAAGCUAUCGUCAAAUUAUUCAGAUUAUAUGCUCCUUUAGAAUUUCGAGAGCAAUUGUUUUUAUUUUUUUUUCGUUAUAUAUAAAAUGAUAUAAUUAUACUAUAAUAUAGUAUAUGUAUUCGUAUCGUUAUUAUACCGUGCAUAAUAAUUCGAAUGAUAUUUGACGAAUUAUGUCUGAUAUAAAUAUAUUCGUCAAGACGCGACAAUAGUAACACUAAUUAAACGUAUAUAUUUGAGCAUCGAAGAAAUAUAUAAGUAUACAUAUUGACAGACUCUUUCUAUGAUUUUUCGAGCGUGAAUAUAAUAGAGGAGAAGGUUGUAAUAGAAGAAAGAAUUUAUAUAGAUUAUUAUAUCUGUAUUUUAUUGUGUCAUAAUAGACGUGUUUCUUACGGCCACGUCCAUCGAUGGAAUGAACAUUGACGUAAAUAAAUAAAACGGAUAUAGAAAAUAUAAUGGUACUUUGGUAAACUUCUAUUCGAAAUUAUUAAGAUUCAUUAAUGAUUGUAUGAAAAACAAUGUUUUUAUAUUCCCUGCAAUAUUUCGAAUAAUGAAAUUACAAAAGUUGUAUUUUUUGCAUAAAAGUAUUGAAGAUAAAAACAAUAUAUCUUGAACGAGGAAUCAAAAAAAAAAAAAAAAAAAGAUUACAUUACAAUUAUAAUCGGAGAUUUCUAUUCACAAAUUUUAAUAACAACUUAAUCAUAUCGUUAUUGUUCUUAACUUAAUCAUCGUUAUUAUUCUUAUAUUUACAGAAAUGUAUUUACACGCUUUGUAUACAUGAGUAAUUUCUAGCGGCGUGUAUACACAUGAUUUCACAUUAAAAUUCGCUCAUUUUAUAAUAAGAAAUCUUUCUAAAGAGAUCAUACAGUGAGAAAAAUGUUUGUUUUUUUUAGGUCUCAUUUCUUUAUGUCCGAAUCUUUAAAACAUUUUGAAAAGAAAAUAUAAAAUCGAUGUCAUCUAAUGAACAUAUAACAGCAUAAUAAACCAAAAGUAUUAUAUUAUAAAUAAUUAUUGACAUCAAAAGUGCGAUACACGUAUUAUUCAAUGAAACGUAGUGUUUACAAUAAUAAUAUACACCAUAAAAUUCAACUUUAAUAAUUAAACGAAAAUAAAAUUCAUAUUAAUUUCGUAUAUUAUAUUUUAUUGACUACUUAGUAACUAACUGACUAGUAAUCGGAGAUCGGUUCAAGUCGAUCAUCUCCACUUCGAAGAAUUAUACAUAUUAGUAAUCAUAUACAAGAAAAAAACAAUAAGAAA
Apis dorsata (giant honeybee) is the source of this 1523-nucleotide long non-coding RNA. RefSeq lists it as uncharacterized. The record is from RefSeq and is a predicted model, not a curated record. NCBI's taxonomy places the organism in Eukaryota, Metazoa, Arthropoda, Insecta, Hymenoptera, Apidae. The transcript has 2 exons.